GUAAAUAAUAAAGGGCGUAUGGUGGAUGCCUAGGCUCUCAGAGGCGAUGAAGGACGUGAUAAGCUGCGAAAAGCUCCGUUUAGGUGCAAAUAACCUUUGAUGCGGAGAUCUCCGAAUGGGAUAACCCAAUAUGUUGAAGACAUAUUAUACCGUAAGGUAGGCAAACGCAGGGAACUGAAACAUCUAAGUACCUGCAGGAGAAGAAAACAAACGUGAUUCCCCCAGUAGCGGCGAGCGACCGGGGAUAAGCCCAAACCGUUAUUGUUUCGGCAGUAGCGGGGUAGUAGGACUGCGACAUUGAUGAAAUAAAUGAAAUGGAACACCUUGGAAAAUGUGAUCACAGAGGGUGAUAAUCCCGUACAUGUAAGUUUAUGAAUCAUAGCAGACUCCUGAGUAAGUCGGGACACGUGUAAUCCUGACCGAAUCCGCCGGGACCAUCCGGCAAGGCUAAAUACUCCUGAGAGACCGAUAGUGAACCAGUACCGUGAGGGAAAGGUGAAAAGCACUUCGAACAGAAGAGUGAAAUAGUCCCUGAACCCAUACGCCUACAAGCAGUCGGAGCCGCUUCGUGCGGUGACGGCGUGCCUUUUGCAUAAUGAGCCUACGAGUUACUCAUCACCAGCGAGGUUAAGUACUUCAGGUACGUAAGCCGAAGCGAAAGCGAGUCUGAAUAGGGCGUCAAGUUGGUGGUGGUAGACGCGAAACCUUAGUGAUCUACCCAUGGGCAGGGUGAAGGUUUGGUAACACAAACUGGAGGCCCGAACCGGUAAACGUUGAAAAGUUUUCGGAUGACCUGUGGGUAGGGGUGAAAGGCCAAUCAAACUGGGAAAUAGCUCGUACUCUCCGAAAUGCAUUUAGGUGCAGCCUCUGUUGUUUUGUUCUAGAGGUAGAGCUACUGAUUGGAUGCGAGGGCUUCACCGCCUAUCAAAUCCGGCCAAACUCCGAAUGCUAGAACAUAAAGACAGGGAGUGAGCCAGCGGGUGCUAAGGUCCGUUGACGAAAGAGGGAGAACUCAGACCAUCAGCUAAGGUCCCCAAUUAUAUGCUAAGUUGGAAUAAAAACGGGGUGGGACUGCUUAGACAGCUAGGAUGUUGGCUUGGAAGCAGCCAUUCAUUUAAAGAGUGCGUAACAGCUCACUAGUCGAGCGGUCCUGCAUGGAUAAUACGCGGGCAUAAGCAUAUAACCGAAGCUAUGGGAUUGUAGAUGAUACAAUCGGUAGGAGAGCAUUCCAUUCAGCAUAGAAGCAGUAUCGUGAGGUAUUGUGGAGCGGAUGGAAAAGCAAAUGUAGGCAUAAGUAACGAUAAUGCGGGUGAGAACCCCGCACGCCGAAAGAUCAAGGAUUCCCCGGCAAUGUCAAUCAUCCGGGGGUAAGUCGGAUCCUAAGGGUAAGCCGAGUGGCGAUCCCGAUGGUAAACAGGUUAAUAUUCCUGUACUGAUCAUAACUGCGAUGCAGCGACGCAGAGGUGACACUGCUGCGUACUGACGGAAUAGUACGUUGAAACCCGUAUUCUUUGAUACCGGUAGUGAAGCACGCCGGUAGAGAUGAAAGGUGAUAGUACCGCAAUGCUUCGGUUGCGCGGAUAAUGCAGGUAAGCUGACUGCCAAGAAAACCUGCUAAGCUUCAGGUAAUGAUCAUCCGUACUGUAAACGGACACACGUGAUCAGGUAGAAAAUACUAAGGCGCUCGAGAGAUUCAUGGUUAAGGAACUAGGCAAAAUGGUCCUGUAACUUCGGGAUAAAGGACGCUCUUGUGAAAGAGCCGCAGAUAAUAGGCCCAGGCGACUGUUUACCAAAAACACAUGGCUAUGCUAAUUCGCAAGAAGAUGUAUAUGGCCUGACACCUGCCCGGUGCCGGAAGGUUAAGAGGAGAGCUCAGAGGUAACUCGAAGGUUUGAAUUGAAGCCCCGGUAAACGGCGGCCGUAACUAUAACGGUCCUAAGGUAGCGAAAUUCCUUGUCGGGU
RNAcentral lists this ribosomal RNA (1962 nucleotides) under human gut metagenome. RNAcentral's name for it is "bacterial LSU rRNA". It matches the Rfam family "Bacterial large subunit ribosomal RNA", at positions 1 to 1977 of the family's 2925-position model. The record is from RNAcentral.